GUCUACGGCCAUACCACCCUGAACGGGCCUGAUCUCAUCUGAUCUCGGAAGCUAAGCAGGGUUGGGCCCGGUUAGUACUUGGAUGGGAGACACAGACUGAAAGAGAUAUAGAGC
RNAcentral lists this ribosomal RNA (114 nucleotides) under Prolemur simus (greater bamboo lemur). The record is from RNAcentral. Lineage: Eukaryota; Metazoa; Chordata; Mammalia; Primates; Lemuridae.